CAAGUCCUCAUGGCCUUUAUGACCAGGGCUACACACGUGUUACAAUGGGAGUUACAGAGGGAAGCUAAACCGCGAGGUCAUGCCAAUCCCAGAAAACUUUCUCAGUUCGGAUCGCAGUCUGCAACUCGACUGCGUGAAGCUGGAAUCGCUAGUAAUCGCGGAUCAGCACGCCGCGGUGAAUACGUUCCCGGGCCUUGUACACACCGCCCGUCACACCAUGGGAGCCGACAAGGGCAGAAGUCGCCGAGCUAACCCAGCACCUUUUUUGGGUAUGGAGCAUGAGAAUAUUAUUCAGAUAUUCGUGCCCAAAAAUGGUGCUGGGAGGCAGGCGCCCAAGCUGUUGUUGACGACUGGGGUGAAGUCGUAACAAGGUAGCCGUAGGAGAACCUGCGGCUGGAUCACCUCCUUUCUAAGGACGCCGGAGAUGCUUUAUGCUUAUCUCCGGAUAGUCAAAGUCGAAACAGACUCUCUUCUCUUCUCUCCCUUUUCUCCUGUAAAUGCUAAGUUAUGAAUUUAGAGCAACGAAGAAAUUGAAUUCGUUACUGUGGACUCCUAAUUUCAAGAGGGGCCUGUAGUCAGCUUGGUUAGAGCGCAUCCCUGAUAAGGAUGAGGCCGGUGGUUCAAGUCCACCCAGGCCCACCAGCUCAUUUUUGAUUUAGAUAUGGAUUUGGAUUUAGCGGCUAUGAUGGUGGCAAAUCUGGGGUCUGGUAAUCCAAAUCAGAUAUUAAAGGUCGGGGGAUUAGCUCAGCUGGUAGAGCGCCUGCUUUGCAAGCAGGAGGUCAGCGGUUCGACCCCGCUAUCCUCCACCAAAUUAAUGAACAGUAAAAAAAGGUGGUGCAGCUUAGCAGAAGAUAAGCUUCAGCAAUUAUUUAAUAAUUUCUGAAUUUUAUUUUUUAAUUUCUUAGACAAUUAAAUCGGAGGUUUUGGAGACACAAGAUCAAAUGUGAGGGUCUCCAAGGGUUGACGAUCUUGACUGUUAAAGUCAGGUAGUAAGGGCGCAGGGCGGAUGCCUUGGCUCUGGGAAGCGAAGAAGGACGUGGCCAGCUGCGAUAAGCCUCGGG
Molecule: small RNA, 1061 nt
Filed under: uncultured SAR324 cluster bacterium
Lineage: Bacteria; Deltaproteobacteria
Description: bacterial SSU rRNA
Rfam family: Bacterial small subunit ribosomal RNA (bases 1-409)
Source: RNAcentral